Picea glauca (white spruce) is the source of this 3406-nucleotide non-coding RNA. NCBI's taxonomy places the organism in Eukaryota, Viridiplantae, Streptophyta, Pinopsida, Pinales, Pinaceae. The record is from Rfam.
UGACCCUAUCUCAGGCGAGAACACCCACUGAGUUUAAGCAUAUAAUUAAGUGAAGGAAAAGAAAAUUACAAGGAUUCCCAUAGUAACAGUUAACGAACCGGGAAGAUACCAGCAUGAAAAUCAGUUGGUAGAGUUUCCUGAAUUGUAGUCUAUAGAAUCAUCCUUAGCAAUGGAUUGGGCCCAAGUGCCCUGGAAGGGGGCACUUCAGAGGGUGAUAGCCCCGUCGGUUCAAGACCCUGCCACACCAUGAGGUAUUGUCGAUGAUUCAGGUUGUUUAGGAAUGCAGUCUUAAUCAGGUGGUAAAUUCCAUCCAAGGAUAAAUACGGGUGAGAGACCGAUAAUGAACAAGUAUCAUGAGGGAAAUAUGAAAAGGAAUUUGAAAAGUGAGUUAAAGAGUGCUUGAAAUUGUUAGGAGGGAAGAAAACAGAGGCCAACGAUGUGUCUCAGUUGGAUGUGAAACGACUCAAUUCAUUCCACUGUUCGACUCGAGGUGUGAACCAGCACAUGUUGUUGCAUCGACACAAGAACGGGUGGAGUACUACAUGUUGGUUUGUCAUUGUGAUGGUCAAGGAAUGAAGUUUUCACUCUUGGGGUGGUCCAUUGUGCACCUACAUUCUCAUGGUCUUGGUUGGCGGGCUUUCCAUUUGACCCAUCUUGAAAUAAGGAAAAAGGAUUCUAACAUGUGUGUGAGUCAGUGGGUUUGUAAACCUACGAGGUGUAAGGAAGCUGACGGGCGAGAUCCCCUCUCCAUGGGGUAAAUUUUCAAUCGAACUUGAGCUUGUGUGAAGGGAUCAAGUGCGAGAACACCUAUUGGGACCUAAAACAUGGUGAACUAUGCCUAAGCAGAGCGAAGCCAGAAGAAAAUAUGGUGGAGGCCCUUAGUUAUACUAAUGUGAAAAUAAUUUGUCUGCCUUGGGUAUAGGGGUGAAAUACUAAUCAAACCAUCUAGUAGUUUGUUUCCUCUGAAUUUUCUGUCAGGAUAGUUGUAGCUCACAUGUGAGUUUUAUUGAGUAAAGAAAUUAUUAUAGGAAUCGGGGGCGUAAUGCCCUUAAGAUAUUCUCAAACUUUAAAUAGGUAAGGCGAUGUGGCUACUCCAUUGAUUCAUGCCAUGAAAUCAAGAGCCCCAAGUGGGCCAUUUUUGGUAAGCAAAAUUGGCAAUGUAGGACGAACCGAAAAUUGAGUUACGGUACCAAACUUUUCGCUAAACCAGAUCCCAUAAAGAGUGUUGGUUGAUUAAGAUAGCAUGAUGGUGUUCAUUAGAGUCAAAAUUUUAUAAGGAGUGUGUAAACUCACCUAUCGAAUCAAAUAGCCCUAAAAAUGGGUGGUGUUGAAGCGCGCGACCUUUACUCGAUCAUCAGAUAAAUUUCCAGACUUCGAUGAGUAGGAGGACACAUGGGUCGUUGAGAAACCUUGGGUUUGAGCUUGGGUGGACCAGCCCCCGGUGCAGAUCUUGAUGUUAGUAGAAAAUAUUCAAAUGAGAACUUUGAAGACUGAAGUGGGGAAAGGUUCCAUGUGAAAAAUACUUAUAAAUCAGUUAUUCAAUCCUAAGAGAUGGGGAAACUCUGUAUCAAGGGUGCACUCUACACAAACAUAGAAAGGGAAUUGUAUGAAUAUUCCCGAACUAGGACAUGGCGGUCAAUGAAAAUGUUAGGAAAUUUGGAGACGUUGCCAGGGGCCCUAGGAAUAGUUAUCUUUUGUUUUUAACAGCUUUCCCACUCUGAAAUAGGCUCAAUUGGAGAUACGGUCUAGCAGUAGGAAGAUAAAUGCACGUCUUGUGGUGUCCUGUGUGCCCUCGAUAGCCCUUGAAAAUAUGGAUGACUAAUUACCAUCCAUGCCUGGUCAUACUCAUAACUGCAUUAGGUCUCUAAGGUGAAUAGCCUCUAGUCAAUAGAACAAUUUAGGUAAGGGAAGUCGGCAAAACGGAUCUGUAACUUCGAGAAAAUAAUUGGCUUUGAGGGAUGGGUAUAGGGGUCUACGUCCUCAACCUGUGGGUUGUCGAUAUUAUUCCUGAGCACUUAUUUUGGGGAGGGUAGGAAGUCACAUGUUGAUUGGGAUAUGGACAUAGAAUGCCCCCUCAUAGAGUAUUUUCCCUAGGAAGUGAACAUUCGAAUAAGAACUUGUAUGGACAAGGGGAAUCUAGAUGUUUAAUUAAAAAAAAUCAUUGCAAUGGUCCCUACGGUUGCUGACACAAUGUGAUUCCUACCCAACACUCUGAAUGUCAAAGUGAAUAAAUUCAACCAAGAGAGGGUAAAUGGCAGGAGUAACUAUGACUCUCUUAAGGUGGCCAAAUGCCUUAUCAUUUAAUCAGUGAUGCACAUGAAUGGAUUAACAUGAUUCCCACUGUCCCUAUCUACUAUCUAGUAAAACCACAACUAAGGGAAUAGGCUUGGUAGAAUCAGUGGGGAAAGAAGACUCUGUUGAGCUUGACUCCAAUCCGAAUUUGUGAAAUGACUUGAUAGGUGUAGAAUAAGUGGGAUCCAUUUUUGGUGCAAGUAAAAUAACACUACUUUUAAUGUUAUUUUAAUUAUUCUGUGGGGCAAAGAUGGGGCAUCGCCCUGAUUUUUUUCCUUAAGACACGUUUUAGUGGGUCGAUCCAGGCAAAAGACAUUGUUAGGUGGGGAGUUUGGCUGGGGAGACACAAUUGCUAAAAGAUAAUGUGGGUGUCCUAAGAUGAGUUGAAGGAGAACAUAAAUCUCAUGUGGAACAAAAGGGCAAAAGCUCAUUUGAUUUUGAUUUUCAGUAUGAAUACAAACUGUGAAAGUGUGGCCUAUCGAUCCCUUAGACUUUGUAAUUUGAAUCUAGAGGUGUUAGAAAAUUUACCAUGGGGAUAAAUGGAUUGUGGAAGCCAAGCGUUCAUAGUGGCAUUUCUUUUUUAUCCUUUGAUGUCAGCUCUUCCCAUCAUUGUGAAGCAAAAUUCACCAAGUGUUGGAUUGUUCACCCACCAAUAGGGAACGUGAGCUAGGUUUAGACCAUCAUGAGAUAGGCUAGUUUUACCCUACUAAUGAACCACGUUGCAAUAGUAAUUCAAAUUAGUAUGAGAGGAACCGUUGAUUCACACAAUUGGUCAUCGCAUUUGGUUGAAAAUCCGGUGGCGUGAAGCUACCAUGUGUCAAUUAUGACUGAACGCCUCUAAGUCAAAAUCCAUGCUAGAAGUGGAACUUGUCACUCCUUGAUUAUGUCUUAAACUAUUGUAGGGGCAUCACUUAGACACCCCCAGUAUCCUAUGUCACUUUUGAACCUCAACUAAGAAGCGUCUCGAUCGAGGCAGCUUUGAAGUUCAAUUUCAAAUAGUCGUUGAAAAGAAUCCUUUACAGAUGACUUAAAUACACGACGAGGUAUUGUAAGUGGUGGAGUGGCCUUGCUUCCAUGAUCCAAUGAGAUUCAAACCUUUGUCACCUUGAUUCAG